AGUGAACGCUGACGGUAGGCCUAACACAUGCAAGUCGAACGGCAGCACAGUAAGAGCUUGCUCUUCGGGUGGCGAGUGGCGGACGGGUGAGGAAUACAUCGGAAUCUACUUUUUCGUGGGGGAUAACGUAGGGAAACUUACGCUAAUACCGCAUACGACCUACGGGUGAAAGCAGGGGAUCUUCGGACCUUGCGCGAUUGAAUGAGCCGAUGUCGGAUUAGCUAGUUGGCGGGGUAAAGGCCCACCAAGGCGACGAUCCGUAGCUGGUCUGAGAGGAUGAUCAGCCACACUGGAACUGAGACACGGUCCAGACUCCUACGGGAGGCAGCAGUGGGGAAUAUUGGACAAUGGGCGCAAGCCUGAUCCAGCCAUACCGCGUGGGUGAAGAAGGCCUUCGGGUUGUAAAGCCCUUUUGUUGGGAAAGAAAAGCAGCAGGUUAAUACCCCGCUGUUCUGACGGUACCCAAAGAAUAAGCACCGGCUAACUUC
This 488-nucleotide ribosomal RNA is filed under the name uncultured bacterium. RNAcentral describes it as "partial 16S ribosomal RNA". It matches the Rfam family "Bacterial small subunit ribosomal RNA", at positions 29 to 504 of the family's 1533-position model. The record is from RNAcentral.